RNAcentral lists this unclassified non-coding RNA (447 nucleotides) under Hevea brasiliensis (rubber tree). Lineage: Eukaryota; Viridiplantae; Streptophyta; Magnoliopsida; Malpighiales; Euphorbiaceae. The record is from RNAcentral.
CGCCAAUUGUUAUACAGAUGUCAUUAAUAAAGCUAGUUCUUUGCUGUUAAAAUUUAUUAAGCUAACAGUGCAAUACCUCUUAGCAAACUAGCUUCACUAUCCUACAUGUCCUCUACGAACAAAUGAAAAGCAAAUAGAGAUGACACUAAUAAGAAAGUUUAAUCUAUAGUGUGAAACCAAUUUCAAGUCAUAAUUUACAACUCAACUCUCUGUACCUAUACAUACAGCUACCUAACCUUCAAAGUAUAAGAUGCAGGUGAAAGCUGCACCCUCCAAUCCCUACACACAAAUGGCGAAGACUGCAUUCUCAAGCUCUACUACUGUCCACAAUCAAUAAUAUGAGCUCUACCAAGGGCCUGUCAGUGUCCUCCGCAAGCAUUGCCUUUUAGAUCCCCGUUGCCCAUUUAUUGUGUCUAAAAACUGAUUUUUCUGCAUUUCCAUAAUUUC